UUGGGUAACCGUGGUAAUUCUAGAGCUAAUACAUGCUGAAAAUCCCGACUCCGGAAGGGAUGUGUUUAUUAGAUUCAAAACCAACGCCCUCUGGGCUCACUGGUGAUUCAUAAUAACCGCUCGAAUCGCACGGCCUUGCGCUGGCGAUGGUUCAUUCAAAUUUCUUCCCUAUCAACUUUCGAUGUUUGGGUAGUGGCCAAACAUGGUUGCAACGGGUAACGGAGGGUUAGGGCUCGACCCCGGAGAAGGAGCCUGAGAAACGGCUACUACAUCCAAGGAAGGCAGCAGGCGCGCAAAUUACCCAAUCCCGACACGGGGAGGUAGUGACAAUAAAUACCGAUAUAGGGCUCUUUUGGGUCUUAUAAUUGGAAUGAGUACAAUUUAAAUCCCUUAACGAGGAACAAUUGGAGGGCAAGUCUGGUGCCAGCAGCCGCGGUAAUUCCAGCUCCAAUAGCGUAUAUUAAAGUUGUUGUGGUUAAAAAGCUCGUAGUUGAACCUUGGGCCUGGCUGGCCGGUCCGCCUCACCGCGUGCACUGGUCCGGCCGGGCCUUUCCCUCCGCGGAACCCCAUGCCCUUCACUGGGCGUGGCGGGGAAACGGGACUUUUACUUUGAAAAAAUUAGAGUGCUCCAGGCAGGCCUAUGCUCGAAUACAUUAGCAUGGAAUAAUGAAAUAGGACGCGCGGUUCUAUUUUGUUGGUUUCUAGGACCGCCGUAAUGAUUGAUAGGGACAGUCGGGGGCGUCAGUAUUCAACCGUCAGAGGUGAAAUUCUUGGACCGGUUGAAGACUAACUACUGCGAAAGCAUUCGCCAAGGAUGUUUUCAUUAAUCAGGAACGAAAGCUAGGGGAUCGAAGACGAUCAGAUACCGUCGUAGUCUUAGCCAUAAACUAUGCCG
This 895-nucleotide ribosomal RNA is filed under the name Ophiocordyceps albacongiuae. RNAcentral's name for it is "SSU rRNA". It matches the Rfam family "Eukaryotic small subunit ribosomal RNA", at positions 139 to 1044 of the family's 1831-position model. The record is from RNAcentral. Lineage: Eukaryota; Fungi; Ascomycota; Sordariomycetes; Hypocreales; Ophiocordycipitaceae.